GGGUUGUGAGGUUAAGCGACUAAGCGUACACGGUGGAUGCCCUGGCAGUCAGAGGCGAUGAAGGACGUGCUAAUCUGCGAUAAGCGUCGGUAAGGUGAUAUGAACCGUUAUAACCGGCGAUUUCCGAAUGGGGAAACCCAGUGUGUUUCGACACACUAUCAUUAACUGAAUCCAUAGGUUAAUGAGGCGAACCGGGGGAACUGAAACAUCUAAGUACCCCGAGGAAAAGAAAUCAACCGAGAUUCCCCUAGUAGCGGCGAGCGAACGGGGAGCAGCCCAGAGCCUGAAUCAGUGUGUGUGUUAGUGGAAGCGUCUGGAAAGGCGCGCGAUACAGGGUGACAGCCCCGUACACAAAAAUGCACAUGCUGUGAGCUCGAUGAGUAGGGCGGGACACGUGGUAUCCUGUCUGAAUAUGGGGGGACCAUCCUCCAAGGCUAAAUACUCCUGACUGACCGAUAGUGAACCAGUACCGUGAGGGAAAGGCGAAAAGAACCCCGGCGAGGGGAGUGAAAAAGAACCUGAAACCGUGUACGUACAAGCAGUGGGAGCACGCUUAGGCGUGUGACUGCGUACCUUUUGUAUAAUGGGUCAGCGACUUAUAUUCUGUAGCAAGGUUAACCGAAUAGGGGAGCCGAAGGGAAACCGAGUCUUAACUGGGCGUUAAGUUGCAGGGUAUAGACCCGAAACCCGGUGAUCUAGCCAUGGGCAGGUUGAAGGUUGGGUAACACUAACUGGAGGACCGAACCGACUAAUGUUGAAAAAUUAGCGGAUGACUUGUGGCUGGGGGUGAAAGGCCAAUCAAACCGGGAGAUAGCUGGUUCUCCCCGAAAGCUAUUUAGGUAGCGCCUCGUGAAUUCAUCUCCGGGGGUAGAGCACUGUUUCGGCAAGGGGGUCAUCCCGACUUACCAACCCGAUGCAAACUGCGAAUACCGGAGAAUGUUAUCACGGGAGACACACGGCGGGUGCUAACGUCCGUCGUGAAGAGGGAAACAACCCAGACCGCCAGCUAAGGUCCCAAAGUCAUGGUUAAGUGGGAAACGAUGUGGGAAGGCCCAGACAGCCAGGAUGUUGGCUUAGAAGCAGCCAUCAUUUAAAGAAAGCGUAAUAGCUCACUGGUCGAGUCGGCCUGCGCGGAAGAUGUAACGGGGCUAAACCAUGCACCGAAGCUGCGGCAGCGACGCUUAUGCGUUGUUGGGUAGGGGAGCGUUCUGUAAGCCUGCGAAGGUGUGCUGUGAGGCAUGCUGGAGGUAUCAGAAGUGCGAAUGCUGACAUAAGUAACGAUAAAGCGGGUGAAAAGCCCGCUCGCCGGAAGACCAAGGGUUCCUGUCCAACGUUAAUCGGGGCAGGGUGAGUCGACCCCUAAGGCGAGGCCGAAAGGCGUAGUCGAUGGGAAACAGGUUAAUAUUCCUGUACUUGGUGUUACUGCGAAGGGGGGACGGAGAAGGCUAUGUUGGCCGGGCGACGGUUGUCCCGGUUUAAGCGUGUAGGCUGGUUUUCCAGGCAAAUCCGGAAAAUCAAGGCUGAGGCGUGAUGACGAGGCACUACGGUGCUGAAGCAACAAAUGCCCUGCUUCCAGGAAAAGCCUCUAAGCAUCAGGUAACAUCAAAUCGUACCCCAAACCGACACAGGUGGUCAGGUAGAGAAUACCAAGGCGCUUGAGAGAACUCGGGUGAAGGAACUAGGCAAAAUGGUGCCGUAACUUCGGGAGAAGGCACGCUGAUAUGUAGGUGAAGUCCCUCGCGGAUGGAGCUGAAAUCAGUCGAAGAUACCAGCUGGCUGCAACUGUUUAUUAAAAACACAGCACUGUGCAAACACGAAAGUGGACGUAUACGGUGUGACGCCUGCCCGGUGCCGGAAGGUUAAUUGAUGGGGUCAGCGCAAGCGAAGCUCUUGAUCGAAGCCCCGGUAAACGGCGGCCGUAACUAUAACGGUCCUAAGGUAGCGAAAUUCCUUGUCGGGUAAGUUCCGACCUGCACGAAUGGCGUAAUGAUGGCCAGGCUGUCUCCACCCGAGACUCAGUGAAAUUGAACUCGCUGUGAAGAUGCAGUGUACCCGCGGCAAGACGGAAAGACCCCGUGAACCUUUACUAUAGCUUGACACUGAACAUUGAGCCUUGAUGUGUAGGAUAGGUGGGAGGCUUUGAAGUGUGGACGCCAGUCUGCAUGGAGCCGACCUUGAAAUACCACCCUUUAAUGUUUGAUGUUCUAACGUUGACCCGUAAUCCGGGUUGCGGACAGUGUCUGGUGGGUAGUUUGACUGGGGCGGUCUCCUCCUAAAGAGUAACGGAGGAGCACGAAGGUUGGCUAAUCCUGGUCGGACAUCAGGAGGUUAGUGCAAUGGCAUAAGCCAGCUUGACUGCGAGCGUGACGGCGCGAGCAGGUGCGAAAGCAGGUCAUAGUGAUCCGGUGGUUCUGAAUGGAAGGGCCAUCGCUCAACGGAUAAAAGGUACUCCGGGGAUAACAGGCUGAUACCGCCCAAGAGUUCAUAUCGACGGCGGUGUUUGGCACCUCGAUGUCGGCUCAUCACAUCCUGGGGCUGAAGUAGGUCCCAAGGGUAUGGCUGUUCGCCAUUUAAAGUGGUACGCGAGCUGGGUUUAGAACGUCGUGAGACAGUUCGGUCCCUAUCUGCCGUGGGCGCUGGAGAAUUGAGGGGGGCUGCUCCUAGUACGAGAGGACCGGAGUGGACGCAUCACUGGUGUUCGGGUUGUCAUGCCAAUGGCACUGCCCGGUAGCUAAAUGCGGAAGAGAUAAGUGCUGAAAGCAUCUAAGCACGAAACUUGCCCCGAGAUGAGUUCUCCCUGACUCCUUGAGGGUCCUGAAGGAACGUUGAAGACGACGACGUUGAUAGGCCGGGUGUGUAAGCGCAGCGAUGCGUUGAGCUAACCGGUACUAAUGAACCGUGAGGCUUAACCUUACAACGCCGAAGGUGUUU
This 2931-nucleotide ribosomal RNA is filed under the name Escherichia coli. RNAcentral's name for it is "23S ribosomal RNA". It matches the Rfam family "Bacterial large subunit ribosomal RNA". The record is from RNAcentral. Lineage: Bacteria; Pseudomonadati; Pseudomonadota; Gammaproteobacteria; Enterobacterales; Enterobacteriaceae.